Molecule: ribosomal RNA, 429 nt
Filed under: Gemmatimonadota bacterium
Lineage: Bacteria; Pseudomonadati; Gemmatimonadota
Description: Gemmatimonadetes bacterium partial 16S ribosomal RNA
Rfam family: Bacterial small subunit ribosomal RNA
Source: RNAcentral
UAGGGAAUCUUCGGCAAUGGACGAAAGUCUGACCGAGCAACGCCGCGUGAGUGAAGAAGGUUUUCGGAUCGUAAAACUCUGUUGUUAGAGAAGAACAAGGACGUUAGUAACUGAACGUCCCCUGACGGUAUCUAACCAGAAAGCCCCGGCUAACUACGUGCCAGCAGCCGCGGUAAUACGUAGGUGGCAAGCGUUGUCCGGAUUUAUUGGGCGUAAAGCGAGCGCAGGCGGUUUCUUAAGGCUGAUGUGAAAGCCCCCGGCUCAACCGGGGAGGGUCAUUGGAAACUGGGGGACUUGAGUGCAGAAGAGGGGAGUGGAAUUCCUGGUGUAGCGGUGAAAUGCGUAGAUAUAUGGAGGAACACCAGUGGCGAAGGCGGCUUUCUGGUCUGUUACUGACGCUGAGGCACGAAAGCGUGGGGAGCAAACAGG